AAGAUUUUAAGUUAAUUAAACUAUAAACCUUCAAAGUUUAAAAUAUAUAUUAAAUAUCAAUUAUAAAUCUUA
Molecule: transfer RNA, 72 nt
Filed under: Crematogaster teranishii
Lineage: Eukaryota; Metazoa; Arthropoda; Insecta; Hymenoptera; Formicidae
Description: tRNA-Trp
Source: RNAcentral